GAGUUUGAUCGUGGCUCAGGACGAACGCUGGCGGCGUGCCUAACACAUGCAAGUCGAACGGUCUAAUACUCAACACUGAGUGUUCAGCUAACGAGCUGAAUGUUGAGUGUUGAGUGUUAGAUAGUGGCGAACGGGUGAGUAACGCGUAGAUAAUCUGCCUCAAAGAUGGGGACAACACUUGGAAACGAGUGCUAAUACCGAAUGUGGUAUCUUAUGUGCAUACAUGAGAUAAAAAAGAUGGCCUCUGAAUAUGCUAUCGCUUUGAGAUGAGUCUGCGUCUGAUUAGCUAGUUGGAGAGGUAAAAGCUCACCAAGGCGACGAUCAGUAGCCGGUCUGAGAGGAU
Molecule: ribosomal RNA, 343 nt
Filed under: uncultured bacterium
Lineage: Bacteria
Description: bacterial SSU rRNA
Rfam family: Bacterial small subunit ribosomal RNA
Source: RNAcentral